GAUGAACGCUGGCGGCGUGCCUAAUACAUGCAAGUCGAGCGAACAGACGAGGAGCUUGCUCCUCUGACGUUAGCGGCGGACGGGUGAGUAACACGUGGAUAACCUACCUAUAAGACUGGGAUAACUUCGGGAAACCGGAGCUAAUACCGGAUAACAUGUUGAACCGCAUGGUUCAACAGUGAAAGACGGUCUUGCUGUCACUUAUAGAUGGAUCCGCGCCGCAUUAGCUAGUUGGUAAGGUAACGGCUUACCAAGGCAACGAUGCGUAGCCGACCUGAGAGGGUGAUCGGCUACACUGGAACUGAGACACGGUCCAGACUCCCACGGGAGGCAGCAGUAGGGAAUCUUCCGCAAUGGGCGAAAGCCUGACGGAGCAACGCCGCGUGAGUGAAGAAGGUCUUCGGAUCGUAAAACUCUGUUAUUAGGGAAGAACAAAUGUGUAAGUAACUAUGCACGUCUUGACGGUACCUAAUCAGAAAGCCACGGCUAACUACGUG
RNAcentral lists this ribosomal RNA (497 nucleotides) under uncultured bacterium. RNAcentral describes it as "partial 16S ribosomal RNA". It matches the Rfam family "Bacterial small subunit ribosomal RNA", at positions 28 to 507 of the family's 1533-position model. The record is from RNAcentral.